GUAGGUGAACCUGCGGAAGGAUCAUUAACACGUUAUUCCAACGUACCCACCAACGCGCAUUCGUUUUCAACUCUCUCCCGCCGACCUACAUGUAUUGGCUAAGUGUAUUCAGAAACUAUUGGAUGGGACACGGCUUCGGCUCGAGUCGUUUCUGACACCGACACGCUGGCAUCACACGAGGCGCAAGCAACGUGCGAGAAGGCAACAAUAGAAGUAGGCCGCGGCUAUCGCUGCGGUGCUGUAAAUCUCCGCCAAGAUUAUGAGCACCGUGGCAACUUUAUAAACCAUUUUCACUCACUUUUGCGAGUUUGACUUUUUAAUCUGUUGGGCUCUCUCUUCAUUGAGAGGCACAGCACGUUUGAUCUAAUUGAACGUUAAAAAAUACAACUCUUAGCAAUGGAUAUCUAGGUUCUC
Molecule: unclassified non-coding RNA, 414 nt
Filed under: rhizosphere metagenome
Description: partial ribosomal RNA internal transcribed spacer region
Source: RNAcentral